Molecule: non-coding RNA, 1188 nt
Organism: Danio rerio (zebrafish)
Lineage: Eukaryota; Metazoa; Chordata; Actinopteri; Cypriniformes; Danionidae
Source: RefSeq, a predicted model, not a curated record
AUUGCUAGACAGACUGCUAGACAAUGACUUCCAUAGUAUUUUUUCCUGCCGAUUUCUAGCAUUAUUCAGAAUACAUAUUUUUGUUUAACAGAGGUAAUAAAUGUAUAAAUGUUCAAUAAAUAAAUGGUGACAAAAGUUUUCUCUUGCUAGGAACUAUCCCUUUAAGUGUCGUGCGCACGGGACUUUUAUUGUGAAGGCGCAGCGCUGCUGUGUUUCCGUGUUUAGUCAGCGUCGAUCAUCUGACGGCUUUAGUUCCUUUAAACGGAGUUUUGGAGUAUUUUUUGGGAGUAUUUAAUCUGUUGAAGGGAGAGUUUAGGGUCCAGACAUAAAGUCAACAGUGUUCUGCUGUUUAAAGCGUACAAUUCUUCACAUUAUGGGGCAGUUUCUUGUGUUUUGGUCGACCUUCCUGCUGAUGUGCGCGCGUUCAGUUUUUCUGAAUCAGAAUCAACAACAACACAACAACCUACAACUGCUCCACCUGUGUGCAAACUGGAAGUAAAAUAUGACCUGAAAGAAAAUAUUGGAGCUGGCUGCUACGGCAAUGUCUAUCGUGGUAUCAGAAAAGUGGACGGCAAACAGUUUAUCAUCAAGUCGACUUUUUCAGAAGUUGACAGCAAUGUGCCUGGAUAUCCGUUACCCAUACCAAUCGAAGUGGCCAUGAUGACAAUUGCGAGAGAUCCCCCCAGCCCGCUGCUCAUCAAGCUCCAGGAAUGGUUUUUAGUUAAAGUGGAGAAAUUGCCAAGAGGAAAAAGCUUGUGGGUUAAUGAUAUGCCGGUGCGAAAGUGUGUAAGACAAUAAUGUUGGUGAUGGAGUAUCUCGGCCCGUGCAGAACACUGGAGGAUUUCCUGCAGAAGCACCAACACCUGGAGGAGAAAGUCGCGCGUACGCUUAUCCUGCAGAUUGUCAAAGCAGCGCAGGAGUGCUUGAGGCGGAAAAUUUGUCAUCAUGAUAUUCAUAACUAAAUAACAUAAUAAUCAUUACAAUUAACCUGUAUCUCUUUUUUUAGGCAUGUAUACAAGGCGAUAUGCAUGUGAACAUACACGUGAAGGGAAAUAAUAACACGUGGAGACAACUAAAUACAGUAUAUAUCACACAACAGCAAAAUAAACUCUUGUUUUUUCUACAAACUGUGUUUGUUCGUCAUUUAACAUUAAAUUCAGAGUGUUUACAAAGUAAUUAAACUCACCA